This 73-nucleotide transfer RNA is filed under the name Stegodyphus mimosarum. It matches the Rfam family "tRNA". From Rfam's summary of the family: Transfer RNA (tRNA) molecules are approximately 80 nucleotides in length. The record is from Rfam by way of RNAcentral. Lineage: Eukaryota; Metazoa; Arthropoda; Arachnida; Araneae; Eresidae.
GCUUUCGUGGUGUAGUGGUCAGCACACUCGACAUGGGUUCGAGAGGUCUGUGGUUCGAGUCCCGGCGAGGGCA